GUCCACAAAUGAUCAGGUGCUUACUAUGUACCAGACACUGUGGAACACAUAGAUCGGUUUAAGAUGUGACAGAGACCACAUCUUAGGUAUCUUGGGUAUUCUCAGAAAUUAAAAACUUUUGGGGAUUAUUUCUGUAUUUUUCCUUUGAGUUCCUUUGAAGAUAAUAACUAUUCACAUGUUCUUGUUUAAUGAAUAAGCACAAACUAGGCCCUCUGUUAGUAAUGAAGAUAGUUAUUUCUUGUUCUCAAAAGAAUCUGUAGUUUAGAACAGCCAUUCUAACUGGAGGCAGUGCCCUUCCUCUCCCUAGAGAAAUAAACCCUAAGAUAUAAAUUAUAUAUAAAAGAUUACAAUCUCUCUGAUACGUCUAGAAUAAUACUAGCUAUAUACCUUAGGAGAAUUGAAAAAAAAUAUUCCAAUUCUUAAUUUGUGAUAAAGGCAUGUACAAAGGAAAGGCAUCUAACUCAGCCUGAGAAUGAAGGUUUUUAAUUUUUAAGAAAAUUUUGAAGAAGGUAAUCCCUGAGGUGUUUGAUGAGAGAUUUUACAAAUUAGGGCAGGGUGGAGAGGAUAUCUUGUGUGUGCAUUAGUCGCUCAGUCGUGUCCGACUCUUUGCGACCCCAUGGACUGCACAGCCCACCAGGGUCUUCUGUUCAUGGGAUUCUUCAGGCAAGGAUACUGAAGUGGGUUGCCAUUUCCUUCCCCAAGGAUAUCUUAGGGAGAAGAAAUACCCAGUACAAAGGCACAGAAGUAUAGAAAGAUCACAGUGUUCAGUGAUGGCAAAGAUUCCAUUUGCUUGGAGCAUAGAGUGCAAAGGCAGGUUUGUGGGCAUAGAGAAGGGAGAAAUUAGAGACAUCCCAUAGAUUUAGAACGCAAGAGUUUUUGUUUUACUUUAAGUCAAGUGAGAGAAUUUGAAGGAUUUUAAACAUUGGAGAAACAACAUUUUAUAAAAAUGACUCUUGACAUCAACAUGGAGGAUACAGUAGAGGACAUGACAUUUUAAUAAUGGAGGGAGACUAAAAUGGAGGUAAAACUGGAUAAAUGCUUUUUCAAAGGUAUUUUUAAAGGAGUUUUGAGGUUAUUUGCUGCUCUGCCACAAGCCACCUUAAAACUGAGUGGCUUAAAGCAACAAAUCAUGUUAUUCUCACAUUGCUAUAGAUCAGAGUAGGCAGGCAUAUGGAACCCACCCCAAAUUACAAAACUAAUAUAUGGAAGGGUUGAAACCCAAACCUAUGCAGCCUGGUUCCUGAAACUUGAGUGUUCAGCCCCUGGAGGUACAGGGUGACACCAAAUAACACAGUAAAGGAGGAAAAGUAAAAAACACGUGCACAGG
This is a long non-coding RNA of Bos taurus (domestic cattle), 1327 nucleotides long. Lineage: Eukaryota; Metazoa; Chordata; Mammalia; Artiodactyla; Bovidae. The record is from Ensembl.